RNAcentral lists this ribosomal RNA (708 nucleotides) under Pantoea ananatis. RNAcentral's name for it is "bacterial SSU rRNA". It matches the Rfam family "Bacterial small subunit ribosomal RNA", at positions 686 to 1388 of the family's 1533-position model. Lineage: Bacteria; Pseudomonadati; Pseudomonadota; Gammaproteobacteria; Enterobacterales; Erwiniaceae. The record is from RNAcentral.
AUGCGGUAGAGAUCUGGAGGAAUACCCGGUGGCGAAGGCGGCCCCCUGGGACGAAGACUGACGCUCAGGUGCGAAAGCGUGGGGGAGCAAACAGGAUUAGAUACCCUGGUAGUCCCACGCCGUAAACGAUGUCGACUUGGAGGUUGUUCCCUUGAGGAGUGGCUUUCCGGAGCUAACGCGUUAAGUCGACCGCCUGGGGAGUACGGCCGCAAGGUUAAAACUCAAAUGAAUUGACGGGGGCCCGCACAAGCGGUGGAGCAUGUGGUUUAAUUCGAUGCAACGCGAAGAACCUUACCUACUCUUGACAUCCAGAGAACUUAGCAGAGAUGCUUUGGUGCCUUCGGGAACUCUGAGACAGGUGCUGCAUGGCUGUCGUCAGCUCGUGUUGUGAAAUGUUGGGUUAAGUCCCGCAACGAGCGCAACCCUUAUCCUUUGUUGCCAGCGAUUCGGUCGGGAACUCAAAGGAGACUGCCGGUGAUAAACCGGAGGAAGGUGGGGAUGACGUCAAGUCAUCAUGGCCCUUACGAGUAGGGCUACACCCGUGCUACAAUGGCGCAUACAAAGAGAAGCGACCUCGCGAGAGCAAGCGGACCUCACAAAGUGCGUCGUAGUCCGGAUCGGAGUCUGCAACUCGACUCCGUGAAGUCGGAAUCGCUAGUAAUCGUGGAUCAGAAUGCCACGGUGAAUACGUUCCCGGGCCUUGUACAC